AGCAACCGCGGUAAUACAGGGGCCAAGAGCGUUGUUAGGAUUUACUGGGCGUAAAGGGCGAGUAGGCGGUCUUGCGUGUCAAGUGUGAAAUCUCCGGGCCCAACCCGGAAAGUGCGCUUGAAACUACAGGACUCGAGUCUGGGAGAAGGAAUCGGAAUAUAGGGUGUAACGGUGAAAUGCGGUUGAUAUCCUAUAGAACGCCGGAGGCGAAGGCGGAUUCCUUGAACAGCACUGACGCUGAGGCGCGAAAGUCGGGGGAGCAAACAGGAUUAAAUACCCUGGUAGUCCCGACCUUAAACGGUGCACACUCGGGGUGGGGCCAUUUCACCGGUCCCGUCCCUUAGCUAACGCGUUAAGUGUGCCGCCUGGGGAGUACGGCCGCAAGGCUAAAACUCAAAGAAAUUGACGGGGGCCCGCACAAGCAGAGGAGCAUGUGGCUUAAUUCGAUGCAACGCGAAGAACCUUACCUGGAUUUGACAUCGUCGGCAAGGCCCUAUGAAAGUAGGGCGGAGGUUAUCCGAUAGACAGGUGCUGCAUGGCUGUCGUCAGUUCGUGCCGUGAGGUGUUUGGUUAAGUCCACCAACGAACGCAACCCCUUUGGUAUGUUGCCAUCAGGUAAAGCUGGGAACUCGUACCAUACUGCCUGUUUACGCAGGAGGAAGGUGGGGAUGACGUCAAGUCAGUAUGGCCCUUACAUCCAGGGCUGCACACGUGCUACAAUGGCGUAUACAGAGGGACGCAAGACCGCAAGGUGGAGCCAAUCCCAGAGAGUACGCCUCAGUUCAGAUCGGGGUCUGCAACCCGACCCCGUGAAGUCGGAUUUGCUAGUAACGGCGUAUCAGCUACGACGCCGUGAAUGCGUUCCCGGGCCUUGCACUCACCGCCCGUCA
RNAcentral lists this ribosomal RNA (890 nucleotides) under uncultured bacterium. Its description in RNAcentral is "bacterial SSU rRNA". It matches the Rfam family "Bacterial small subunit ribosomal RNA", at positions 510 to 1399 of the family's 1533-position model. The record is from RNAcentral.